Molecule: ribosomal RNA, 699 nt
Filed under: Triticum aestivum (bread wheat)
Lineage: Eukaryota; Viridiplantae; Streptophyta; Magnoliopsida; Poales; Poaceae
Description: partial small subunit ribosomal RNA
Source: RNAcentral
AUGAAAACCUGCAUGGCGAGUAUGAUGAUAAUUGCGAGCCUUUCCAACAAGAUUAUAAGAUUUGGAACCACAAAACCCCUCAGGUUACAGUCACUUACUCAAGAAGCAUACUGGUACUUCCUCAAGGUGCAUGCUUUUGGGAGCACGAGAGCGGAGGACCACCCAAAGCUCGCAUCAAUUGCAAUGGACAUGGCCAGGCUGAUGAAUGGGUGCUUCAUGGGUGCAAGCAUCUUGAGUGAACUACUGAAAGCAAUUCUUAACCUUCAUUUCUGGAGUAGGGCCCUUGCAGCCCUGAAGAAUUCAAAGCAGACGAACAUCUCAGUCUCUCAAGAUGACAAGAUGAGCAUGCAAGAUCUUCUCGUUGGAAGUGUUAGCCCUAGAGGGAAAUUCAACGUCCAUCUAUGGACAUCUCGUCUGCCUCCUCACUACAACUACUCCGUUCAAUAUUUUACUGUGAUUCUGUGUUGUACUUCCAGCAGUCCACAUUCGAGCCCGCCUUCCUUUUGCAUGAAUUUAGUAAUAAAGAAGCCUGAAGGAAUUGUUAUGGAGUACGCCUCCAAGGGUGUUAUCUCGGUCAUCUACAAUUUGGGCGUCUUACUUCUCGAGAUUUUAAGCGGGAAGAGGAAUGCAAGCUUCUUGAAUCUCACAGGAAACUGCCUACUACAAUGCCCGGAUAUCGAGCAUCCGGGAGUCAGUUAG